This 1257-nucleotide long non-coding RNA is filed under the name Vulpes vulpes (red fox). Its description in RNAcentral is "lncRNA (ENSVVUG00000005110.1)". The record is from RNAcentral. Lineage: Eukaryota; Metazoa; Chordata; Mammalia; Carnivora; Canidae.
GCAGGCUCCAUGCAGGGAGCCUGAUGCAGAACUCCAACCCGGGACCCCAGGAUCACGCCCUGGGCCAAAGGCAGGUGCUCAACCGCUGAGCUACCCAGGGAUCCCCCACCUUCUUGCUAAAUCCUCACAUGAUCUUUCCCAGGUGCCUGCACCUUCAGAGGGAGUGCGCCAUUUGAUGUCUCUUCUUAUAAGGACACCAGUCCUAUGGGAUCAGGGCCCCACCCUUAUGGUUUCACUUAACUAUAAUUGCUUCCUCACUCCGAAUACAGCUACACUAGGGGGUUAGGGCUUCAACAUUUGAAUGGCAGAGGUGGGUGGGGAGACCCAAAGACUCAGUCCACAACAGCUAGCCAAUACAUAGUUUCAUUCUAUAUUCUAAAUUGUUGUUUUUGUAAGCUAUUGAUGUAGAAGUGUAUUUGGAAUGGUGUACUCCUAUUUUGUUAAGGAGACAAAACCUACCAAUAAAAGUGCAUUACAGUAUAAUCAUUUGUACAGAGAAUACAUAAAAAUUCAUGAAAAAAAAUGGUGUGGUGUGUGUAGGUAAGUCUGCACCAGAUAUUAGCAGUGCUUAUCUCUGCUUGAUGAGAUUCUAGGUAAUAAUUAUUUUGCUUUUGGGUAUUUUCUGGCACUUCAGAAAUGCAAGAAAGGAAUUAACCUAAGAAUUUAUUGAAUGCUAGCAUAAAAAAAAGACCCGAUCAUUCUUUUAGUAAAACACAGGAUUCCGUUCCAUUUUCAAUCUUUUCCACGAACCUAUGAAAUAAAAGUGGUAUGGAUUCGUUUACAGCAAUGUUGUUUGGACAGAAAAAAAAGAUACAGAUGUUUCCCUUUGGUGGAGGGAUCCAGGCUCCCCGUGACAACAGUCCCUUGCCCCUUGCGGGCAGAGGGGAGACGGCUUCUUCAGCAGGUGGGGGUGGGGACGCGGCACCGGCUCCGUCCCCCCACCCCACCCACCCCGGCCGCCCGCGAGCCCGGAGUGACGCGGCCCCGAGGCGAGCAUCCCGCAAAGCGCCGCGAGCCCCAGGCUGCCCCGGAGGACGCUGGGAGCCACGCGCGGAGGCCGCUGCCGCGCAGGCGCACAGCAUCACCAGGGGGCUUUCGAGGUGGAACCUCCAGCUGCUUGCUGAGAAGACCGAUGGAACUCAAGACGAGAUGGGCCUUGUGAGCCUAGACAUUAAAAGGUCCCGACUCCGGAUUUGGGUACACUCUGUUCGCUGGGUGCCUGAGCAUGGAGGACUCCAGCACCACCGCGAGGCCUGA